AACGAACGCUGGCGGCAUGCCUAACACAUGCCAGUCGAACGAGACCUUCGGGUCUAGUGGCGCACGGGUGCGUAACGCGUGGGAACCUGCCCUUAGGUUCGGAAUAACUCCCCGAAAGGGGUGCUAAUACCGGAUAAUGUCUUCGGACCAAAGAUUUAUCGCCUUUGGAUGGGCCCGCGUUGGAUUAGCUAGUUGGUAGGGUAAAAGUCUACCAAGGCGACGAUCCAUAGCUGGUCUGAGAGGAUGAUCAGCCACACUGGGACUGAGACACGGCCCAGACUCCUACGGGAGGCAGCAGUGGGGAAUAUUGGACAAGGGGCGAAAGCCUGAUCCAGCAAGGCCGCGUGAGUGAUGAAGGCCUUAGGGUUGUAAAGCUCUUUUACCCGGGAUGAUAAUGACAGUACCGGGAGAAUAAGCUCCGGCUAACUCCGUG
RNAcentral lists this ribosomal RNA (433 nucleotides) under uncultured bacterium. RNAcentral's name for it is "partial 16S ribosomal RNA". It matches the Rfam family "Bacterial small subunit ribosomal RNA", at positions 29 to 507 of the family's 1533-position model. The record is from RNAcentral.